This 512-nucleotide long non-coding RNA is filed under the name Homo sapiens (human). Its description in RNAcentral is "non-protein coding lnc-ENPP1-7:5". Lineage: Eukaryota; Metazoa; Chordata; Mammalia; Primates; Hominidae. The record is from RNAcentral.
CUUUCCAAAAUGCCUUAGUUUUAGAGUUUCUCAUUUUCAUGAAAAUAGUAAAAAUUAACAAAUAUCUAUAGAUAUAAAAUACAAUCCAAUCUCCCACAACUCCCAGAUACUGCAGCCAUCACUUUCUAAGGGCUGCGUAAGGAAGCAAAUUAAGCUGCUCUUGGCUGCAAGUCUUGCUGCUUGGGAGAAAUUGCAGCUGUAGCAGCUCUCCUCCGGCCCCAGGCUUGUGAUAGGAAAGAACACAAUUCAAAAACCUACUGCUGGGACACUUUCCACACUCCUGGUUGUGGAAGCCCCUAUGCUGCUCCAUAGCAGGCGCUCCAAUCUCUGGCCUGAGAUUAAAAUGCCUGCAUGACCAUGCUGUUGGGUCAGCUAAGAGUGGCUGAAUUUGUAUGUUCCCAAAUUAAAAAUGGCAUCCUCUCAGUCCCAGGUCUGGGAAAAGACCAUGUCUUUCUCUCACAGCAUCUCCAAGUCUCUCCCCAAGUUAGCUCCAGGGCCUGGGAGAAACAAAG